CCUGGUAUCUCAGUUGGUUAAGAACCUGCCUGCAGUGCUGGAGACCUGGGUUCAAUCCCGGUGUCAGGA
This 69-nucleotide transfer RNA is filed under the name Bos taurus (domestic cattle). It matches the Rfam family "tRNA". From Rfam's summary of the family: Transfer RNA (tRNA) molecules are approximately 80 nucleotides in length. Their secondary structure includes four short double-helical elements and three loops (D, anti-codon, and T loops). Lineage: Eukaryota; Metazoa; Chordata; Mammalia; Artiodactyla; Bovidae. The record is from Rfam by way of RNAcentral. RNAcentral also lists the same sequence under 2 other names.